This 157-nucleotide unclassified non-coding RNA is filed under the name uncultured Leohumicola. RNAcentral describes it as "sequence contains ITS1". The record is from RNAcentral. Lineage: Eukaryota; Fungi; Ascomycota; Leotiomycetes.
UCGAGUUCCUGCCCUUCGGGUAGAUCUCCCACCCGUGCGUACCUCUAUCGCUCGUUGCUUUGGCGGGCCGCUUCGGCUACCGGCGCUCGCUGGUGAGUGCCCGCCAGAGGCUCCAAACUCUGAACAUUAGUGUCGUCUGAGUCCUAGAUAAUCGUGA